Molecule: ribosomal RNA, 490 nt
Filed under: uncultured bacterium
Lineage: Bacteria
Description: bacterial SSU rRNA
Rfam family: Bacterial small subunit ribosomal RNA
Source: RNAcentral
GAUGAACGCUAGCGGCAGGCCUAACACAUGCAAGUCGAGGGGUAUAGGGAGCUUGCUUCCUAGAGACCGGCGCACGGGUGCGUAACGCGUAUGCAAUCUACCUUGUACAGGGGAAUAGCCCAGAGAAAUUUGGAUUAAUGCCCCAUAGUAUUAUUAAAUGGCAUCCUUUAAUAAUUAAAGUUCCAACGGUACAAGAUGAGCAUGCGUCCUAUUAGUUAGUUGGUGUGGUAACGGCAUACCAAGACGAUGAUAGGUAGGGGUCCUGAGAGGGAGAUCCCCCACACUGGUACUGAGACACGGACCAGACUCCUACGGGAGGCAGCAGUGAGGAAUAUUGGACAAUGGGCGCAAGCCUGAUCCAGCCAUGCCGCGUGCAGGAAGACGGUCCUAUGGAUUGUAAACUGCUUUUAUACAGGAAGAAACACUGGUUCGUGAACCAGCUUGACGGUACUGUAAGAAUAAGGAUCGGCUAACUCCGUGCCAGCAGCCG